AAAGACGACAAGGAAAAAAAUCUCAAUCGUCCUCCUGGUCCUGAGACUCAACAUGUAUUUUGAAAACGAGUAGCAGAGAGUGUGUCAGCUGCUUUCAACAACCCUGAGUCCAGAACAGCAACAUGUCAGAUGAUAUCAUGGAAGUUCUAGUCACCUAGAACUUUAUAAAUUAGAAUAGAGAAACUUGAAUUGCACAUAUAAAAGAGACAAAGUCUUACUAUGUUGCCCAGACUGGUCUCAAACUCCUGGCCUCAAGCAAUCCUGCUGCCUCAGCCACCCAAAGUGCUGGGACUACAGACUUGAGAGCUCCACCACGCUUAACUGGAGCUUUGGACAAGUUGCUUAACCCUUCGGUGCCUCAAAUUUUUAAUCCAUAUAAUGGGAAUGAUACAGCCUGAGCCACGAUGUAAGAAGUCUGACCUUCCUUCCAGAGAGACCACAUGAAGAGGCUCAAAAUCUCCAUGAAGGACAGGGACCCACUGGAGCCCAGCCUCCCAGCUAUCCCUGCCAAGGUGGUAGGUGUAAGAGUGAAGCCAUCUUGAAACCUCCAUCCUUGAACAUCCCACCCAGCCGAGCCUGUCUGAAUUCCUGAUGCACAAAAUUGUGAAAUCUAAUG
Molecule: long non-coding RNA, 616 nt
Organism: Symphalangus syndactylus (siamang)
Lineage: Eukaryota; Metazoa; Chordata; Mammalia; Primates; Hylobatidae
Source: RefSeq, a predicted model, not a curated record